This 1343-nucleotide ribosomal RNA is filed under the name uncultured bacterium. RNAcentral's name for it is "16S ribosomal RNA". It matches the Rfam family "Bacterial small subunit ribosomal RNA", at positions 28 to 1378 of the family's 1533-position model. The record is from RNAcentral.
GACGAACGCUGGCGGCGUGCUUAACACAUGCAAGUCGAACGGAAAGGCCCUGCUUUUGUGGGGUGCUCGAGUGGCGAACGGGUGAGUAACACGUGAGUAACCUGCCCUUGACUUUGGGAUAACUUCAGGAAACUGGGGCUAAUACCGGAUAGGAGCUCCUGCUGCAUGGUGGGGGUUGGAAAGUUUCGGCGGUUGGGGAUGGACUCGCGGCUUAUCAGCUUGUUGGUGGGGUAGUGGCUUACCAAGGCUUUGACGGGUAGCCGGCCUGAGAGGGUGACCGGCCACAUUGGGACUGAGAUACGGCCCAGACUCCUACGGGAGGCAGCAGUGGGGAAUAUUGCACAAUGGGCGGAAGCCUGAUGCAGCAACGCCGCGUGCGGGAUGACGGCCUUCGGGUUGUAAACCGCUUUCGCCUGUGACGAAGCGUGAGUGACGGUAAUGGGUAAAGAAGCACCGGCUAACUACGUGCCGGCAGCCGCGGUGAUACGUAGGGUGCGAGCGUUGUCCGGAUUUAUUGGGCGUAAAGGGCUCGUAGGUGGUUGAUCGCGUCGGAAGUGUAAUCUUGGGGCUUAACCCUGAGCGUGCUUUCGAUACGGGUUGACUUGAGGAAGGUAGGGGAGAAUGGAAUUCCUGGUGGAGCGGUGGAAUGCGCAGAUAUCAGGAGGAACACCAGUGGCGAAGGCAGUUCUCUGGCCCUUUCCUGACGCUGAGGAGCGAAAGCGUGGGGAGCGAACAGGCUUAGAUACCCUGGUAGUCCACGCUGUAAACGGUGGGUACUAGGUGUGGGGUCCAUUCCACGGGUUCCGUGCCGUAGCUAACGCUUUAAGUACCCCGCCUGGGGAGUACGGCCGCAAGGCUAAAACUCAAAGGAAUUGACGGGGCCCCGCACAAGCGGCGGAGCGUGCGGAUUAAUUCGAUGCAACGCGUAGAACCUUACCUGGGUUUGACAUGGAUCGGGAGUGCUCAGAGAUGGGUGUGCCUCUUUUGGGGUCGGUUCACAGGUGGUGCAUGGCUGUCGUCAGCUCGUGUCGUGAGAUGUUGGGUUAAGUCCCGCAACGAGCGCAACCCUUGUUCACUGUUGCCAGCACGUUAUGGUGGGGACUCAGUGGAGACCGCCGGGGUCAACUCGGAGGAAGGUGGGGAUGACGUCAAGUCAUCAUGCCCCUUAUGUCCAGGGCUUCACGCAUGCUACAAUGGCUGGUACAGAGAGUGGCGAGCCUGUGAGGGUGAGCGAAUCUCGGAAAGCCGGUCUCAGUUCGGAUUGGGGUCUGCAACUCGACCUCAUGAAGUCGGAGUCGCUAGUAAUCGCAGAUCAGCAACGCUGCGGUGAAUACGUUCCCGGG